AGCAGCCGCGGUAAUUCCAGCUCCAAUAGCGUAUAUUAAAGUUGUUGCAGUUAAAAAGCUCGUAGUUGAAUUUCGGGAUUAGUACGUUGGUCGUGCCUUCGGUACGUACUGGUGUUACUGGUUCCUACCUUCUGACGAACCAUCAUGUCAUUAAUUUGGUGUGGCGGGGAAUCAGGACUGUUACUUUGAAAAAAUUGAGUGUUUAAAGCAGGCUUUAGCUUGAAUACAUUAGCAUGGAAUAAUGAAAUAGGACGUUUGAUCCUAUUUUGUUGGUUUCUAGGAUUGACGUAAUGAUUAAUAGGGAUAGUUGGGGGCAUUAGUAUUCAAUUGUCAGAGGUGAAAUUCUUGGAUUUAUUGAAGACUAACUACUGCGAAAGCAUUUGCCAAGGAUGUUUUCAUUAAUCAAGAACGAAAGUUAGGGAUCGAAGACGAUCAGAUACCGUCGUACGUCUUAACCAUAAACUAUGCCGACUAGGGAUCGGAUGAUGUUAAUUUUUACGACUCAUUCGCGCCUUACGGG
This 520-nucleotide ribosomal RNA is filed under the name uncultured Glomus. Its description in RNAcentral is "SSU rRNA". It matches the Rfam family "Eukaryotic small subunit ribosomal RNA", at positions 569 to 1094 of the family's 1831-position model. Lineage: Eukaryota; Fungi; Glomeromycota; Glomeromycetes; Glomerales; Glomeraceae. The record is from RNAcentral.